GUCCCAUGAAAUACUAGAGGAGCACCUUCGUGUUUACAAAUAGCUGCGUACACGCAGAGAAUGCCUAUAAUAUUCAUCAAACUAUAAGGUGAAAACCCAAAUAUUCCGGAAGGCCGGUGUAUGGACCAAGUUAAGCCCUCUCUUUUGUCAACUUCUUCAAACAAUAUAUCUUCCUGAAUAUAGUAAAAAAGUGGCACGUUUAGUCUUGGCAAAUCCUCAGUAAAAGGCGGAUCGUGAGACGGUAUCUUGCCAAUACACUCGAAUGGACCGACGUAAUGUUUGCCUCCCGUUUGGAGACAGAUGUGGCGGAGAUUAGGCGCAUUCGGGAUUACAGAACGGAGCACGUUACGAAACAUGGCGCCGUUGAUAUUGCAAUUCUCGGCUUCAGUGGGACGGCUGGCCCACGUCACAUAGAAGAUGUGGGUGACGUCAGUGAGUUUUGAGAGCUUGGCUUGCGUAUCAUCCGGGUCGGAAAUGUCGCAUUGGAUGUAAUCAAUAGGGUACCCGGCGUUCCAAUUAGGCCUGGGGCGUCGGGCCACCCCGUGGACCUUCCACCGGCCACCGGGGGUAUCUGGUCGGGGCAAAAUCUCAGCUAGGCUGUUGCCUACAAUUCCUGUCACGCCUACUACAAGUCCCACGUUCUGGUAGUCUUGAGGUCGCGCAUCUUCUUCCAAUUUGUUCUGUACAGCGAAAAUUAAAAAAAAAAUUAUUUUAAAUAUCAGCAUGUUACGUGUAUGUAUAAGCUUUUCAAGUGAAGAGAGGCAAUUAGGGGGUCGAUCUUUACCUUAGCAGCGCCAAUACUACCUGCCCACCGCCAGCUCAUUUUUUGAUGAAUCUGGAAAAUUGAUGAUAAGUUUGGAGACUGCUUAUCUAUAAACAAUUAUACGAGCACUUUCUAGAAGGUAAUUUUCAGUUGAAGUUAGAUAAUGUGAAUAUGUGAUCAAUAAUGAAAGAUCCAAUAUCAUAAUGUGUGGUGAAAUGUGGUUCCGGCUAAAGGCCAAGCUUCGCACUGUCAUUGUCAGUCAGUUUGCUUUCCCGCAGUUUUCAAGUUCGGUGCCAACUCAAAUAAAUAAGUAGGUAACCACUUGGGUUUAGCCCAAGUGGCUAGAGCCCCUCCCUCACAAAUGUGAGGAAAGAGGUUCGAGCCUCCGCAGUCGCAUUGUAGGGGUUUAAUUUAAAUAUUUCUCCUUGGAGCCCUUGAGCUCGAGUGAAGAUAGUUUUUCUCUCAGGAUGGGAGUUUGACAUCCCUCGAAUAUUUGAGAGGGUUAAAAAUUUGAGCAGUGUCAUAUCAGCAUUAAUAUCAAUAGGGUUCAGUAUAAAUAUAUGAUUGUAAAUAUCAAUUAUACUCUCAUGUAAUAUGAGUUGUAAUUUGAACUGUAAUUUGAGCAAUAGUCUCAUGUAAUAAAAAAAAUAAUAAAUAAAUAAAUAAAUAAGUAGGCCAAUGUCGGUGACCAUUGCAAUAAAAUCGCCCUAUGAUUAUUACGGAAGCUUCAGUACGUGGACCCUGAGUUUUAAACCUAAAAUCAAAUAUAUGUCUCUUCACUUUUAUAAUUUGCUUAAGGCACACCAGUCAGUUUUGGGACAAAAAGAGUUCUUCAAUUUGUAUUUUCAUGGAAAUAAUCAAAACAUUUGAUAUUGAAGGUACUGUAACUUUGAAGGUAUAAGUAUAAUUAAAAAAAAAAUUAACUAUGAAUUAAAAAUUAACAAUUUCUAGUAAAUAUGAUUAUUAAAUAAUAAUUUUGAUAAAAAUAAUAAAUAUAUUAUAGUUUAUUCGUCAUACAGGUAUGAGAUUAAAUUAACUUAAUUUCUAAAUCACAGCAAAUAGUAUAUGCUAAAUAGUUGUAGCUUUUAAGCUAUAACUACUUAACAGGUUUUGAAAAAUGGGGAUGCAGUAUCUUUUCAAUAGGGGUGGGCGCGGUUCGGUUCGGUUCGGUUCGGUUUUUAACUAAAUUUUUCAUAAUCGUUCGAUUAUUAUUAUUUUAAAAUCAUAAUCGCAAUUAAUCAAAUUACCGAAAUAAUCAAAUACUCGAUUAAUCAAAAUAAUUCGAGUCGAUUCAGUUCGAUUAUUUCGAUUAUGGGCCUAUUGGACUUAUUUUGGAUUUUUUUAAAUUUAAAACCUUAAAUUAAUAAAUCUACCACAAACAUAAAAGGUUAACAAACCAAAAAUCAAAAUAUGUCUCAAAGUAUGUUCAAGAACAAAUAUGUUCAAAUAAAGACCCGUACAGAAAAGAUAAAAAUUUAUUUAAACAAACGAUUUGUUUCUUAGUUAAAAGUUUUUAAUCUUUUACUGCUUUUCUUAUUAUCCCCAUUUUCGUGAUUGUUGGUACAUAUGUCAAAUCAUAGGUGGAAGCCUCUAAAAAAUAAAAAUUAACCAAAAAAUCAAUUAAGAUUAUAGUUUAAUUAAGGAUCCAUAUAGAGUUAGUUAGCAGAACCAGCUGGAAAAUGUUUUUGUCUGAACCUGUUGCAGAAAAUUAAUACCUGCUGGCGUUUUUGAUUAAUUAAUUUAGUUAUGAAUAUACAAACUUAAAAAGUCAUGAAUGAGACGUGUCUGAACUUGCUUUAGACCUUUAGUUUUCAUCAGUAGUAAAGACAGCACCAGCAAUUCACAGCAUCAGCAUUUAGUUAUGAACUUGCUUUACGUGCUCUGGAAAAUAUCAGUGAAUCCAGCAAUUCACCGCACACUAUAGAGAACAUUUUCAAACACAGCUCUAGGAUAUAAAAAUCAUGAUCAAUCUCAACAGUAUCCAGUUUGCGAUUUGGGAAAAGAAACUGAAAAAACCGAAAAAACCAAUCAUUCAAUCAUCUUUCAAUCAAAGAAACAAACCAUAUCUCACCCAAAUGGGGGAAAAGAAAAAACAAAAGAAUGAAUCAAAAAUCAAUUUUGGUAUACAAAUUAGUAGUCCUGGGUAUAACUAAAUACAGCAUCUCAAGUGAACGAACCUCAACAAAUUACGAAACGAAACACGAAACAAUCAGCAGCAGCUCAAGUUAUUGGUUUUUAUUCUCUCCAAAAACAGAACAAACCAGACAAAAACGGCAGCGAUAUUUACAUAACUCAAGCACAUUAACAAAAACAUGGGAACGAGGAAAAAGAAAUUAACUUUAAACCAAAUUCAUAAAACCGAAACGAAAAAUGGAACCUUUUUCAUUCGAUUUUUUGUUCUGCUGGGAGAUUUUGUUGACAAAAACAAAAGAAUCUUUGCGGUGAGCCCAUUGUAUUCAGACAAAUAAUGGCAGCAGGGGAGCAUCGUGACAGCAGCAACGAGCAGCGUUGACGACUGACGAGCAGUGGCGACGACGAGAUUGCAGCGACGGCGACGAGCAGCGGGGAUGAGAUUCCAGCGGCUCAAGGUGCUGCGGGUGAAGGUCACGAGUUCAGCCUUGUUUAGUUUAGACUUCAGAUUUUAGGGAUUGUUAUUUGACAUUCGGUUUAUUUGAUAUCCGGUUCAGUUUUUUGGUUUUGUUUUUUUAAAUCGAAAAUCGAACCAACCGAUUUUACUAUUUUUAUUAUAUUACUCAUUCGGUUUUUUAGAUGAAAAAACCGCACAAAAACCGAACCGUUCGGUUCGAUUCAGUUUUUUGAUUAAUCAAUUUUUUUUCCACUCUUACUUUUCAGUAUCGGAUUUUGAUACAAUUACAUAAAUCUUCAAAUAUAUUAUAAAAAUCUAAAAUUAUUCUUAUUAAUUAGGAAAUAAAAUAAUUAAUUUUAAAGAGAUUAUUAUCACCAAUUAUAUUACGAUAACCAAAUAAAAAAAUAAAAUUAAUAAUUUAAAAUAUUUAUUUUAGUUAUCAAUUAUUAUAUAUAUACAAUAAAAAAUAUUUUUCAUACAUGUUUAUAAAUGCGUAAAUAAAUUUUAUUCAACAUUGUGUCCAAUUAAUUUAUUUAUAUUCUUACAACAAUUUAAUAGUAAUGUGAUUAUAGAGGCCAAAACAUCAAUUUUUUUUAGUUAUCAAAUGGUGUAAAAAGUCAAAUGAACACAAAAUGCAUUUGUAGUCUAUUGAAAUAUCAAAAUUGUCCUCAAAUUGUAAAUCUCAGACAUUUACACAUAGGAACCUCGUACAAGUGAUUGUGAAACUCGAUAUAUGAAUAAAUGAAGAAUUCUUUUUUUUUUUCUCUUAAAUUUUAGGAAAUAGUUAAAGAUGUUCAUAUGAAUGAAUGGAAGUUUUUUUUUCCUCAUCUCAUUCAUUCAUGUGAAUAUCCAUGAAGUUUAUUUGAAUGAACAAUUUUUUUUUUCUCAAUAAAUAUGCCAUCAUGAAAAAAGUUUUGGCUCUUGUGUAAAAUUUGAAAAUCAUAAAAAAAAUAUAUACCAAUAAAAUAAUUCUACAUAAUUUAUGCUCACCAAUUACUAGGAAGGGUAAAUGCUCAUUUAAUACAUAUAUUUUGACAUAACUAACUUUUCAGCCAUAUUAUUGUUGGAAAAAAAGAGUCCUUUGAUAUGUAAUUUUUAGCUAGUUAUACAAAUUGUGCAAGUUUCUAAAUCUCACCUCCACUAGGCAAACUUACGCAAAUAAUCAAAAGAGAGACGUCGCAUUUAAUUUAGAAGUUGUUUCUCGUUUAGGCCCUAUUUGAUAUUGAAAUGCUAUAGCAUAGUAGGAAAAAAAAAAGUUGCAACUAUUAAAUAAAAAUUGAUAAUGUUUAAUAAAAUAAUUAUUAAAUAAUAAUUUGAUAAAAAUAAUAAAGACACUAUAGGUUUUUUCAUACAAGUGUGGGAUCAAAUCAACUUAAUUUCUAAGCCACAAUAGCUAGUGUUUACUAAACACUUUGGUACUGUAACUUUUAAGAUACAGCUGCUCAACCUUAAUACCAAAGAAUGGUUUAAAUCGUUUAUAAGGUAAUAAUAGACAUGACUCUAGAAGCUAAAACAUCAAUUUCUUUUCUUUUUUUUAUUAUCAGAUAGUGUAAAACAUCAAACGGAAACAGCUAAAUUUGUGAUCCUAUUAUUAUCCCCAAAUUAUGAAUCUCUGCCAUUUACAAAAAAGAAUUUACUACAAGUGAAUGUGAAAGUUGAUAUGCAAAUAGAUGAAUAAUUCUUUUUUAUUUUAAUUUCAAGAAAUAGCUAACUUGUUCAUAUGAAUGAAUUGAAUUUUUUUUUUGUUGGGUUUUCUCAUCUCAUUAAUUCGUGUGAACAUUCAUGAGGGUUAAUUGAAUGAACAAAUUUUUAUUUUCUCAAUAAAUCAGAUAUCAUAAAAAAACGUUUUGGCUCCUGUCUAAAAUUUCAAAAUCGUAGCAAAAAGUAUAUCAAUAAAAAAUUCUACAUAAUUUAUACUCACCAAUUAAUCAGGAAAAAAUAUUAGAUAUAACUUUGAUGGAAUCAACAAGGUGAGAUAGAAAGAAGAAAAAGUGUCUAAAGCUUCAAUUUUGUUAGGUUUUUAUGAAUGUCUCACCAUGUUAGGAAAUCAAUAGUGUGAGCGUGUGUAAAAUGAUGAGAUUGAGAAAAACAAAAUUAAGGUUUAUGGUAUGGAUGUGAUAAAUGGGUUUGUUUAAUUAAUAUUAACAUCUUUGUUCAAUUGUUUUAAGGUUUUCCUUUAUAGUUACUUCAAUUUUGGGUAAUUUAGGAAUAAUAAGUUGUUUUUAAAAAAUUUAUGUUCAAAGUUGUUUCAAGGGUGAAAAAUCUAUACCCUUAUAAUUUUGUGUGUUAUGGCUCCUCAAGUGUGUUGUAUUACAAGUGAGUGAUUCAAAUUCAAAUAGAUAUUUUCAUUGGAUGUGUUUUUCCACACUAGGGUGGGACUAUAUUGCACAAAUGGAUGGAGAGUGCAGACCCAUAUUCGGCUAACAUAUAAUUUUUGUUGGGCUGGAUUAUAUCCAAACAUGAUGCGAACGACACAACAUUAAUCAAACGCGGCUCCCCCUUGAGGUUAGUCAGCUUUGCAUUACAUUUAUUUUAUAUAAUGAUAACAAUUUAAAUGCAUUUAUCAAUUUUAUUAAUAUUGAAAUACACUUUAUUUUAAUUUUCUUUUCUUACCCUUUUCUUUCUCUCUCCUCUCUCUAAGUAAUGCUCUCCGCUUGAAAAAUUUUGGAUUAUUCAAUUUCAAUCGGUUAUAUUUUUACAAUCAACUUUUUCUUUUUCUUUUUCUUUUUCUUUUUCUAGUCCUGUGAAUCGGUUGGUUAGAAAGGAAGUGGUUUAGAAGAGGAACCACUUAGAAAAGCUUUGGUCUUGAAUUAGGCUUUAAUUGAAAAUUGGGUUUAGUUAUAACUUGAAGGCAUGUAAUUAGAAAUGUAUUAUGAAUGUUUUUCUCCAGGUCGACAAUUUAGCUAAGUAUAUUUAUUGAACCCAUCAACAAAUAACAAUAACACAGCAAUUUUUUUUGUCCCUACCUGAAAUGAAGCUUUUCAUUGAUUAACAAACAAAAGUUACAUUUCUUCAGCAGAACAAUCACAGCUUGAACUAAUAAUUGAAAAUGUUGCUAAAUCGUGACUUUUCAAUAGCUAAGGCACCAAAUCCCAAAAAAAAAUAAUAAUAAGGAAAUUACUUAAGUCACAGGGCUGUGACUUUUUUUUUUUUAAUUUAACUCAUUAACAAUAACAAAGAAAAACAUCUCAUUUCCACGUAAAAUGAAACUUUUCGUUGAUUGGAAAGCAAAGAACAAAGAAAAGCUGUAUUUCUUGCAGCCAAACAAUCACAGCUUGAACUAUCAAUAAAAUGUUUAAGUAAGGCACCAAAUUCAAAAAAGAAAAUUACUUAAGGCACAAUCCUGUGACUUUUUAGCCUACCAAUCCAAGCAACGAAGGAAUUCUUAGAAUUCCUGAAACCCAGGAACCCGUGCUCCUUACUCUUGUUCAUGCUAACUGAAUAACCCGCACCAACAUUCAUCACCAUAUCUGCAUACGACCAAACAGCGACCUCAUUCAAUUUUGUUGGCUGCAACUGAUUCUCUCUCACAAUCUCCUCCCACACACUUUCUUUACCUUUCAUAAUUUCCUCCAAUCUCACCCUCUCACUACCCUUUUCAUCUCCAAACCCAUAAUUCUCAAUCUCAAACUGCUCAGCCAACACUUUCCAUAAAUGCUUCCACUUAAAAACAUCUCCAUUGGUGCAAUUGAAAGCUUCGUUUCUUGCAUUAGGAUCCACUGCCGCCCAAAUUUGCUGCUCCGCAAUCAAAUCUGCAUCCGAAUAUUCUGAGAAGCCUUCCCAAGUUUCUUUCGUCCCAGGAAAUAGUAAAGGAAAACCUUCAUGUUUGCAAAUAGCAGCGUACACGCAGAGAGUGCCUACAAUAUUCAUCAAACUAUAAGGUGAAAACCCAAAUAUUCCGAAAGGUCGAUGUAUGGACCAAGUCAAGCCUUCUCUUUUUUCAACUUCUUCAAACAAUAUGUCUUCUUGAGUAUAGUAAAAAAGUGGUACGUUUAACCUCGGCAAAUCCUCUGUAUAAGGAGGUUCGUGAGACGGUAUCUUGCCAAUACACUCGAAUGGACCCACGUAAUGUUUGCCUCCCGUUUGGAGACAGAUGUGGCGGAGAUUCGGUGCGUUCGGGAUUACAGAACGGAGCACGUUACGAAACAUUGCACCGUUGAUCUGGCAAUUCUCGGCUUCAGUGGGACGGCUGGCCCACGUCACGUAGAAGAUGUGGGUGACGUCAGUGAGUUUUGAGAGCUUGGCUUGUGUCUCUUCCUGGUCAGAAAUGUCGCAUUGGAUGUACUCAAUUGGGCGAUUGGCAUUCCAGUCGGGCCUCGGACGUCGGGCAACUCCGUAGACCUUCCAUGGGCCACCAGGAGUAUCCGAUCGGGGCAUUAUCUCUGCUAGGCUGUUGCCUACAAUUCCUGUCACGCCUAAUAUAAGUCCCACAUUCUGGUAAUCUAGAGGUCGCUGCUUAUCUUCUUCCAAUUUCUUCUGUACAAGUAAAAAUAAAACAAACAUUAUUUUAAAUGUCAGCAUGUUACAUGUCCACUAACUUAACUACAGAGUUGAUGUUUACCUUCGCAGCGCCAAUAUCACCCGCCCACCACCAGCUCAUCUUUUGGUGAAUUUGAAAAUUGAUGAUAGGUUUGGUUUCUGCUUCUAGUUUUAUUUAUAGAGAGGAGUUGACAACUGUGUAAAUAGACUUUCACAAUGUUUUGAAAUAGUUUACAUUAUCAUAAACAUCUAACUCUGUUCACACAUAAAGAGGAGACUGCCAAUUAUACAAGUACUUUCUAGAAGGAAAUUACGUAUUCAACUGAAGUUAGAUUAUGUGAACCAUAUUGAAAGAUCUAAUGCAAUAAUGUGUGGUGAAAUCUAAUGCACUAAUGUGUGGUGAAAUGAGGUUCCUGCUGAAGGCCAACUUCGUACUAUCAUUGUCAGUCAAUUUGCGUGCCCACGGUUCUUCAAGCUCGGUGCCAACUCAAAUAAAUUAGUAGGCCAGUGUCGGUGAUCAUUGCACUAAAAUCGCUCUACGUUUAUUACGGAAGUUUCCGUAGGGGGCCCAGGUUUAAACCUAAAAUCAAAUACGUCUCUCAAUUUUUAAAUUGCUUAUGGCACAGUAGUCUAUAACUUUUCAGCUUUCAAUAUCAAUUUUGGAAAAAAAGGGGGAUUUAAAUUUACUGUCGAGGUGCUAUUUUUACUAAUAUUUUAGAAGCAUAUGGUUGAUAGUUAUUGGAUACAAAUAUAAAACUAAUUGAAUCUUAACUAUAUAUUGUUAUACAUGUACAUGUGGUAGAAGAUUAUGAAUAGUUAAGCAUAGAUCAACUCAGUAUUAAAUCCAAAUUCCAUAAACAGUCCUUUAAUUACUUGUAGUUUCUAAUCUCAUCCUCUCCUGGCAAACGUUAUUAAAAAAAAAGCAAAAGAGAGACAUCCCAUUUAAUUUAGAAGUUGUUUCUCAUUUAAGACUUGUUUGAUAAUGAGAUAUAGUAACUUUUAAUUUACAGUUACGACAAAAAGAAAAAAAGCUAUAAUUAUGAAAUAAUUUUUUUAAAAAAUAAAGAGAUUAUUAAUCGACUAGUACUUAGUAUUUUACUGUUGUAGGUUUUAAGUCACUGAUGCCCAACCUCCGUAAGAAAUAGAAUCUUAAUUUAUUUCGCUUCUUUGAGGGUUUGAUAAAGAGAUAUUUGACCUGUUUAUAAGAAAAUAAUUGACAAGACUCUAAAAGCCAAAACAUCAAAUUUUUUCGUUAUCAGAUGGUGUAAAACAUAAAAUGAACACAAUACGCAUAUGUGGUCGGUGGAAAUAUCAAAAUUAUACUCAAAUUGAAAAUCUCAGCCAUUUGCACGCGAACUUUUGGUACAAUUGAUUGUGAAACUUGAUAUACGAAUAAAUGAACUUUUAUUUUUAAUUUCAGGAAAUGGAUAAAGUUGUUCACAUGAAUGAAUGGAAGAUUUUUUUUUUCCUUUCUCAUCUUAUUAAUCCAUCUGAACAAAAAAUUUUAUUUCCUCUAUAAAUCUGCCAUCAUGAAAAAAAAUUUGGCUGUUGUGUAAAAUUUGAAAAUCAUAGAAAAAGUAUAUCAAUAAAACAGUUUACGUAAUUUAUACUCACCAAUUAAUUAGGAAAAUGUAGUAGGUAUAACUUUCACGGAAUCAACAAGCUGAGAUAGAAAGAAGAAAAAGUGUCUAAAUUUAUUAGGCUUUGAUGAAUGUCUCACUAUGUCCGGAAAUUAACUGAGACAACAAUAAUAAAACGAUGAGAUUGAGAGACGUGAAAUUAAGGUUCAUGGUAUGUGAUAAAUGGGUAUGUUGAAUUAAUAUUAACAUUUUCGAUUAAUUGUAUAAAGUUGACUUCAGUUAUGGGCAAUAUUUUUUUUGUUUUAUUGAUAAGGGAAACGAGCCUAGCAAAAGUAGCUAAGGCUUAACAGUAAGAGGGAACGCAGUCCCUAAGGUAUCGCUACGCAGCCAGAAUUCAACACCAGGAGGGGGAAACAGAAGACUGUGGAGCCCAAGAGGUAACGAGAGAGCAAAAGUAGCAAGAAAAUCAGCUGCGAAGUUUGCCUCACUGUAGAUAUGGUGCACAAAAACCUGCCAAUUUUGAGCGAGAAGAGCCUUGAUACUCUUGACAAGGGGAGACGAAGCAUUAAGCGUAUCAUUUUGAGCCUCCAAAAGCUAAAUCACGCAUAAGCUAUCAGCCUCAACAAUCAUCGAUCUGAUACCCCCGUUCCAUGCCAUGAGGAGACCCUGAUAAAGGCCCCACAGCUCAGCAAUUGUGAUUGAACACAGCCCAAUGUUCAUUCAAAAUCCUUCAACACAUUCUCCACAAUUGUUUCUGAUUAAGCCACCAGCAGAAGCCAAAUCCGAGGCCUUACGAGCUCCAUCCGUGUUCAACUUGAAGAAAGCUACACAGGAGGCACGAAGCCAAAGUACAUCUCUACUCUCGUGGGUUUGUCUGUUAUGGCAAUUUAAUACAUAUUGUUAUUAAAAAGUAGUGCUAAGAGAUUAGUGUUAAAAAUUGUAUGUUUAUUAAGGGGUAAAAAUGUUAUUUUGUGCUAAUAAUAUAAUUUACGUUUGUAAAUAUGUAACAUAUUAUGAAUUUCUAAUUAUUUUUCUAAAUAUUUGAUUUUGUGUGUUUAUUAGGUAAAAAUAAUAAUUUCACACAAUUUGAGACUCCAAAUAAAUGUACGGAUGUCAAAUUUGGAUUCCGAAAGUCUGAGAAAUGAGGUCCUUGUCGAUCAGGAUCUGCGACUUUUGUUGUAAAUUUAUAAGUUGUUACCAAGGUAAAUGUGGUAAUUGUGAAAUUAUAAACUUUUACUAUAUUAGGUGUGGUAAUUGUUAGUGGCAUGUGUUGGAUGUGCUUGAGUGGAUUAAGUUAGGUUUAUGUUUUAUUAGUAUGACAAAUACAUGGUUAAGAUAUACUUAGCUUUAUUUAUUUGUGUGGUGUGGAUUAAUCAUGUAUUAGUAUAAAUAGAUAGGGGGGAACACACCUCUUCACACAUUUCCUUCUCUGCUUUCCCCUCAAAUUCUUCUUCUCAUCUCUCUUUGUAAUAAAUUUUCAAUAAAUAAAAUUAGUUUUAUUUUCAAUUUUCAAAUACUUUUUUUCAUUAUGUUGUUUUUUUUUAAUUUUAAUAAUUCCUUUUAUUUCAAAUAUGUUUAGCUAAAUACUAAUAGUUAGGGGAAGAUGAAACUCUUAGUAAAAAAAUAGGAUUUAAACAAAUUCUAUUUUUAAUUAUAGAAAUUAAUUAUUUUCCAUCUAAUUUUAUCCAUAUUUUAUAUUUUGAAAUUUUGAUUUAUUGUAGACAAACAUGGGGUUUAGCAUAAUGAAUUUUUAAUAUCUUAGUAUAAAGUAUGGUAAACUAGUAUUUUAACUUAUUGUAAACAAAUUAAAUUUUGGUACACUAAGUACUUAGUUCGUAAUAAAAUUAUUGGGAAAAUAAUUGUAAUUUAUACAAUUAAUCAUUUGGACAAUAACCUAAAAAUAAAAAGAAUUUAUUAAAUUGUAUUUGUUACUAAGAGGGGAUCUAGAACCUAACUAAUUUAAUUUUAUAGUUUUGAUCAAAUUAAACUGCACAUUUUAAAAUUUAUUUUCAUUAUUUUAAAAUAAAAAAAAAAUUAAAUAUUUUCUCUGUAGAUCGACCUCAGAUUCAGUGACUCACCGAGCUAUAGUUUAACUAGGCACUCUUACACUUGGGAGUAAAUUAAACACUUUUAAGUCGUGCACUUAGAUUAGCUUUUGCUGCUAUUUAAACCCACUAAUUUCUUCUCUAUAACUAUUUUAAAAAAUAACUUUAUCAUUAAAGUUUUAAAAUUUGAAAAUCUCGAAAUUACCCCACCAAUUACUUUCUUUCUCUACUUUACAAUUACAUACUCUCCCAUUAUUCUCAUAUAUAGUCUACAAACAAAACACUCAAUUUCACUUUCUUUUGAAUUUUUUUUAACAUUUCUUAGUAUAUUAUGAUCUAUAUUUCAUGCUUUCUGUAUAUAAGAAAUUUUUUCCUUAAUAUUCAUUAGCUUUUGUGUUUAGUAAAAAUUAAUUUCUUGAUAUUCAUUCAUUUUCAUGACUGAUAAAAAUUUGUUGAUAUUCAUUUUUAAAUGAUGGAUUUUGUUCUUCUUAGUUAGUAAUACUUAUUCUUUAUAGGUAAAAGAAUAUAUUUGAAUGGAUUGAAGAGAAUUUGUAAAAUUAAGAAGAGAAAGAGAAGAGAGGAUUAAUUAAGAAAUUUUUUAAAAAUUAUUUAGAUAAUAAAGUUCUUAAUUAAAAUGAGGGUUUAGAGAGGAAAUCGAUAAGUUCAUAUAGCUCUUCCUUAGUUUUUAGAGUGCAAAUUUUAAUACCCUUAUAGUUUUGUGUGUUAUGGCUCCUUAAGUAUGUAGUAUUACAAGCAAGUGAUCCAAAUUCAAUUUGAUAUUUGUCUUUCUACAUUCUGGUGGGGUUGUAUUGCAUAAUCGAUGCAAAGGGCUCACUCAUGUUUGGCUUACAUAUAACUCCUAAUGAGCUAGAUUCUAUCUAAAACUAAUGUUGGGGAAUUUUAAUUCCACUCAAGAUCUUGAAAAUAAAAAUAUCAAAUAAAUAAUUAAUAAAAUAUACAGAUGAAGAAUAAAAUCAAUCCACUACAAGAAAAAUGGCCUACUAUGACAGGCAAAAACGGUUAUCUUAGGGGGUGGAUGACGGUUAUCCUUACUGUCAUUGUAGCCAGCGUCAAGAAAAGAUAACAGACAAAAACCCGUCACAAGUUGUGAUAAAUUUUACCUGUCAUAAUUCAGUCAUACAACUUAUAUAAGGGAAAUUGGCUUUUUUUAAUUUUUAUGUUUUAUGAAAUUAAAACUGUAAUUAGUAUUUGUGGAUAAAAGUUGUGUGUCAAAUGUUGUGACUAGUAUUUUCAAUCACAAUUUUUUUUAAAAUUGACUAUUUAUUUUAUUUAUUAAUUUAAAAAAUAAAAAAUAUGCAAUUUUAGUUUCCUCAAUUUAAAAUUUAAAUUAUAAAUUUUAUAUCAAAGAAAAUAAAUUAAUAAAUGCAAUCAAAUCCAAAACUAAUGAACUAAAUUAGUGAACUUUAUUAUCCAUAAAAAUAUCCAAAGUACUUCUAAAUUUCAAAAACAUACAAUUGAAACUUUACAAUUCAAUAGUUAAUCAAUAUUUCAAACUCAAGCCAACAGCCAAAAAAGACCAAUCCAAAACCAAAGCAAAGUACUCAGCAUUCAGCAACAUCCAGCACUAAAGCUAUGCAAAAUGUAGUCCUUUUCUAGCAGCAAAAUCCAGCAGCCCCCAAGCCAAGAAAGAAGUAUCCCAUUUCAUCAAUUGAAAAUAUUAAGUGAAAUAUAAGCAUUUACACAUGAAAAUAUUAAGAAUAACAUCUACAAAAAGGAAAAAAAAUACAAGUAAUAAUAGAAUACGAAAAUACUCAGUGAAAACUAAGGCGAGACCCCUUUUUUCCCUUCUCUGGAGUAAGGCACUAAAAGGGAUUAAAGAAAUUAUGAUUGUGUUCCACACCUGGCGCUGGUAGAGACAAACUCUGGUCAUGUAAUAUUUGCCUUGGCACCGUUUGAAUAUGUCUAUAUUAGUAUCCACAAAUUCAAGGAAGAUGAUUGGCCUACCUCUUACAUAUAUCAUAUUCAAGUCCAAACAGCUUUAUUCCUCGUGGGAUUUAUUUGAUCAAAUUAAUAGUUCAGGAUGAAAAAUGGUUAGAACCUCACAGUCAUCAAAAGUUACUGUCUCAUAAUUCAUUUUAGUGCUUAUAACACAGAGGAAAUAAAAUAAAAUAUCUAAACAUACAUUUAUCAUGUAUGUAAACAUUUUUUUUCUUUUCUUUAAAUACAGAGAGGACAGUAGUUAGUUAUUUAAUUGAAAGGAUGCAUAGAAAGUUUCUUUAAACCAAUACUAGUGGUUAAGUCUCAAAAAGAAAUAUUAGUCCAAAUUCAUUACUUCCAAUCAAGCAAAAGCAUGCAGUAUCAAACAGGAAAUGCAUCCUCAGGACCCAUAAGCCAAUUUGUACUCCAUUACUAUCAAUUUCCUAGCUGGUCAAUUUUUUAUUUUUUAUUUUUAUUUUUUUGUGGGUAUCUCUUAGGUAUCGAAAGUCAUACCCUAAGUAAUCAAACAAAUUCAGAUAGUGCUUACCCAAUACAAGAUAUUGGAGAUUAAAUCCAAGAGUAACGGAAUGCAGAAAGUACCUUUUUUGAAGAAAAUGUCAGUGACGUCUUUCGAAGGUAAGGGUCCCAGUAAACAACAGGAUCCACUUUCUGAUUCAGCACAACAUUUCCACAUUUCCAAUCAAGGGAGCUUGAUAAAUACUGGAUGAUGUUAAGACCAAAAUCAGUUUUAAACGAUUUGUCUUCCAAGAUCGUACAACACGCAGGGAAAAUGCCAGUGAGUGGGUGAUCAUAUCUCUUCCUCCAGCGAGGAUAUUAUUAUAUAUACAUAUAUAUGCACACUAUAAAACUACUGAUCAUACAUUCAUCCAUUAAUAAUUUUUAUUUUAAUCGUCUGCACAAAUUAAAGGGAAAUGAUCAGCCUAUCCUCGACCUCAAGCAUGCACCAAUAGCAUUACAAAUAAUUAAACUUUUCUCCAAUCAAAUUUCUUAACUAGCUAAUAGGAAUGAUAAUUAGUAAUAAUAAGAGAUUAAUUAGAAACUUCAAAGAAAUACAACGUGUGCAUAAGAUUUAAUUCCUCAGUUCAUGUUUUUCUAAUAAUUUCAAGAUAACUAGCUUAUUUAUUUAUCAGCACAAGAUGAAGUCAUUUUAACUAUAUGUAUCUACUUUUACAAGCUAGGUAGGAGUACUAGAACUAUUGUUUAUGAAAUUAUAUUUAUAAAUAAAUACUUGUGUAUGCAUGUGAUCAAUAUAUAUAUAUAUAUAUAUAUGCACACACACAAAUUACAAGAUUGAUUGAUCGGGCUGAUGGAUAUAUCUAUGUAUGCAUGCAUUUAUUCCUUAGUUUUUUUCUUUAAAUUAAAUUGUAAUUCUCAAAAAAGAAAAAGAAUAAUCACAGCAACAGGCAUUUAGUCCUUAGUUUUGGAGGAUCUGUCCUUCUCCUUCCUCUGUCCUCCAAGAAUACGAGAAAUCUGUAAACCUUUAUGCACUAAAUACUUAGUUGAACAACAUUCUUGUUUGAAAUUCUAAAACAAAUGGGAACCACGCCAAGAAUGCAACCGGGGUGAAUAGAAGCAAUCCCAUCACUAUUUCAUAACCAUGAGCAAGUGUCCUAACUGAUCCCCAAAUUCCACCAUGUUGUAUCACUGGCUUACAAGCUUGUAAGAUCUAUAUACAGUUCCACGCAUCCAUAAAAAGAAAAAAGAUUACUUAUUAGAAAAGCCCCAAUGAUAAGCAAGCCUGGUCAAUAUCCCAACACCCAUCACGAUUAAAUUGGCAAGGAUCUUCAUAGCCUAAAUCAAAUUUAAUGAUAAAACUAUAAUAAUUGAAUUCCAAAAAAAAUCAAAUAAAUGUUUAAAAUUUCAAAAAUAAUUAAACAUAAAAUACCAAUCAAGUAGAUCCAAAUUUAACAAGAGCACACCGAGGAUUUUCAAAUUUUACAUGUAUAGGGUUUAAAUUUGAUGACAACACAUCUAGGGUUUUCAAGAUUUAGGUGUCUAGGGUUCGAAUUUGACAAGAACACAUCUAGGUUUCUCAAGUUUUACAUAUCUAGGGUUUGAGUUUGACAAGAACAUUAAAAUUGAAAUGGAACACAACACUAGAAACAUUAUUUACCUGUAUUAUUCAAACGAUUGCAGCAGUGGGUGAGUGAAUGAAACGACCCUCCCCGAACCCCAGGGUAAGUGUAUCUAACCUCAUCCAAACUGGAUUGAUAAUAAUCUAAUUAGUAAGGAUUUUGCCAAAAAAUCGACAGUCUCUUUUAUAUAUAUAACACUCCCAACCUGCAAAUAUAUAAGACAAGCACUCCCAAUAUAAUUCAAUACACAACAAACUCCAACGUUCAACAUCCUCAACCACAACACUGAGCUUUACUCAAGAUAUCUCCAGAAUCUCAAAAGAUAAUAUUAUAACUAAUAUUAAUAUCUCAGUUUAUUCUUAAUCCCAAAAGAAUAAUAUAACAAAAUUAUACAAUCCCAAAAGAACGAGAUAACCAAGAUGUCCUAACAAAAUCAUCUAUAUCUUCUAACACCAUCACGUGGCCAAUACUCAAAAUAUAUUUACAGUCGUUGGGUCGGUCUAAUGUACCUGCAACCUCCUGAUGGGGGGGAGGAAUAUAAUAAAAAUGGAGUGAGUAUAAAACUCAGUGAGAUCAGUGAGUGGAUAGUAGUUUUUAAAAAUCAAUUAUUACUUCAAAAGAAAUAAUCAUAUCAUUUCCAAACACGAUUUCAUCAAACCAUAUGCGAGAAACCAGUAAUAAAUCAUUUAACAUUUAAAUCAAAUUACUAACAAUGAAAAGCAUAUAGAAUACACAAAUCUGAAAAUCAUCACCAAACAAGUACCUAGGGAAAUAACCUCGUCAUAUUCGGACCUCAACGGACGGGCAAUGACGUACUAUCUAGGUACCGUCACGCCCCGGAGCUACACGGAUAGACAGGGAAAUAUCAUCUCAUAUCUCAUCAUAUCUGUGCAUACAUAAUCUAGUUCCCAAGGGAUAAAAGCACCCAAGCACACAGCCCAAAGCCUCUCUGUGUGCUCAGACGGGCCCCAAAGGCCUAUAUCUCAUAUGUAUUAUAUGUAUCUCAAUAUCUGUCUAUAUCUCAUAUUUGUAUAUUUGUAAUCAUCAUACUGCAUGCAUAUGCCCCCAAAAGACAAAAAUGCUCAAACACACGGUCCAAAGCCUCUAUGUGUGUUCAGAUGGGCUCCAAAGGCCUCUCAUCUCAUAUCAUGUGUAUCACUAUAUCUGGAAGGGAAGGGUACUGUCUAAUGAUUUCAAAAACAAUCAUUAUACUCAUAUUCACAUACCUUUUACCCAUACUUUAAAUCAUAUCACAUUUGAAUCCACUUUUCUUAUCUUUAAAAUACUAUCAUGCUUAUUCAAAGUCGAUACGCAAAAUCAUUAACCAAACAUUUUAAUAAAAUACCAAUGCGUGAAUAAAAUCUAUUUCAAGGGAAUCAUUAAAUCAGAACAUUUAAAAUACUUAUUUCUCAAAUAUGCUUUACUAUUAUAAUUAACUAUAAAAUUAAGUUUUGUAUAUUCCACUCACAGUGACGGUGUUCACGCUCGUUAUCGUCCACGUCCGCAGAUCGAUUCUCGCUUGCGAAUCCCCCUUAAUUAUGGAAACGACAUAAUUAUUUUCUGUAAAUCGAAAUUACGACUAAAUUUAUGCAAUAAACUCGAAACGAAAUUCGAUCCAUAAUUUACAACUCUCGUGUCGAUAAAAUUACUAAAAUACCCUUGAGUUCGUAAAUCAUUAACAUACUCUGAAAUCGUAAAUCACCGAAUUACCCUCGGAAUCAUAAUUACACCCAAUCCUCAAUUCUAGGAAUUACUAAAAUAUCCACAGGCUCAAAAAUUACAAAAUUGCCCUUAUAGCGUGAAAUUACCGAAAUGCCCUUCCAGGUCAAUGGUCACCAAAAUUUAGUCAACGCUGGCCGAGAAGGUCAAGUCUGAAAUUUAUGGUCACACUGAGUCCAACGGUGGCAGUGGUGACCUCCCACGCGCGGUGAUGGCUCCGGAUCGAGCUCCCAAAGUUGUAACUCCUUCAACCGAUCAACGGCAAAACGAUGUCCCUGGUGGCAGUGGAUGGUCGUAAAUGGAAGAGGGAGUCUCGGGGAACAAAAUCCAACCGGUGGUGUUACCCAAAAUCGGCGAAAAUCCCAGCGGAGCAAAGUGGAAAAGUCGCGGGUUUUCAAGCUUUGGUCGCCGGCAUUUUGGUUGUUUUUCGGUGACAUGGACGGCAAGGGUAUAAUGGCCGGUCUUCAAGCUUCAAAUUGGUACCAAGUUUGACCGGAACGGUGGCCAGAAAUGGAAGUUACGACCGAGUCAAGGUCGCGGGUUCCAGGUCGGGUUUGAUAGCUUCUCUCUCACUCUCUCACACGUGUGUCUCUGUUUUGCUCUGUUUUCCAACUUCCUCUUUUACUUAUUCUAACUUUUUAACCACCUCAUUUUAUUCCUUUAUUUAAUUCACAUAUGUUACAGUGAAGGUUCUCAGUUAGGGUAUUGAAAUUCAAUAGUGGCAGAACACGCGUUUGAUAGGCACUCCGUGUAGUUCUUGGUGAGGGCCUAAAUCAACGGUGAAAUACAAGAGAAUGUCGGCGGCAGUUCAGUGCCUAUGCAAGGAUUUUGGGCGAAAAGGGCUUUGUGAGCGUAAGAUUGAUGAGAGUGACUAAGCAAGAGACAAGAGUAAAAGUGCCAAUACUCACUGAGAAAAAAAAAUUACGAUGAGUGAUAACUAAAGAGGGUUUCAUUUUUAUUUAGUUUUAAUCUAAACGGUGUCGUUCCUUGUUUAAAGAGAAAACUUUUAACCCAAAUGGUACUGUUUAUUCUUUAUUUAUCUUUUUCAUUCAUUUUAAAAUUUUCAGUCAACCCUGCAAAAUAAACUCAAAAUAAAAAUAUUGUUUGACGACCAAAAUUAUAUCACAAACUUGUCAUUAUUUUUUGAUAGCCAAAUAAUUUAUCACUAGUCUAUCAUAAGUGCUUGAUAGAUGAAAUUUAUAUCACAAGUAUGUCAUAAACGCAUGACAAAAAAAAAAAUAUCAUCGAUCUAUCGUUGUAACUCUCAACACCAAAAACUGUCACAUAAAGGACUGUCAUAAUAGGUCUUUUUUCUUGUAGUGAUCAAACAAUACAAAAAUUUAUGAAAAAAACUCUUGUACCAGAGAAAAUCAUGCAACUAAGGACAAUGAGGGAAAAAUUUACUACAUGGAAAAUUAUUGCAAUUACUUGAGUAUUUUCCUCAAACCCCAAAUCCUAAUAACACUCAUUCUCUCAAAAGUCUUAUUGUUUCUCUUACAUUAGAAAUUGUCUACUUGCUUAUUUUUAUAUGACCAAGCAAACCAAACAUCCUCAUAUACAGUGAUUAUUUCUUAUAGGAGAAGUUUUUAUUUCCUUAUAUAAAUUAUAUUCCUCUUUGAAUAAGUUAUGUCCCAAAUGAGGAAUUUCUUAUUCCUCAAAUAUGAAUUCUCCAAAAUAAGAAAAUAGCCUUGAAAACCCUUAUACUGGAAAAAGGAGACAUAUUUCCUAACAAUCUCCACCUUAACAAGUUUUUUGAUUAAGUGAAAAAAAAAAUAUAUAAUCCACCGUGUAUCCACACAAGCAUGUUGUCUGCAUCUUCUUUCCUCCACCAAAAUCACAUUCAUAUAGGGCUUAUGAGAAUCACUCUAUCAUGGGUAAAAUCUUGUCACGACUAUAAUUCUCCACAUUGAAAAUCAUCAUACUCCACUUUAUAUAGAGUACACAUAUUCAGCACAUCUCGGUCACCUUGCUGAAAAUCCUACUCUCAUGUUUGGCUUCCUUAAGAGUCAUCAACCAUUAACAUAAAAAUUCUACCAUACACCUUGUAUAAAUGUCAAAAUAUGUCUUGCGUGUAAAUUUAUGGACCUGCUAGCAGUAACACAUUCUCUUUCAUGACACGCCAAAAAGGAUAAAUUAGUCUCUCGUGAAGAAAAGAGACACACCACUAGAUGAGAUUACUAGUAUUUCCAUCUACUAAUUUAAAUCUACUUGCCAAACCUGCCUCAUUCCAACAAUCUUUAUUAAGAUGCCUUGAUUGUCUACACACCUCUAGGAGUUUCCAUCAGUGGGAACAUGGUUUACAUCGUCUUUACUUUCAUUGUUUAACAUAGAUUGGAUAAACAUAUAUCUUUGACUUCAAUCUGUCCCAAGCCAAAACUUUUUCUCCCAUUAAACUUUCUAUUUUACCUUCACAAGUUUUGAAACCCUCUUUGCUGAUAUAUUUGCUCUGCAUUGCAACCUUAACUUUAAUACCACUUGUUACAAAAUUUUAAUUCGAUCCAAGAUCUUGCAAGUAAAAAUAUCAAACAAAUAAUAAAUAGAAAAUACAGAUGAAGAAUAAAACUAAUUAUACAACAUAAGAAUUUUAAAUGGAAACUCUAAUACAGGAGAAAAACUAUACUGUAAAAAAAAAAGACAGAAAAUUUUAUUAUGUGAAAAAUUAUUUCAACUACUCUGGCAUUUUUCUCACAGCCAAAACUCCAAUAACACUAAAUCUCUCAAUAGACAUAUUGUUUCUCUCACAUUCAAAAUUGUUCACUUGCUAAUUUUUAUAUAACAAGUGAACCCAACCUCCUUAUAUAUAAUGAUUAUUUAUUUCUUGUAGGAAAAAUGUUCAUUUUCCUUGUACAAGUUGUAUUCCUCUUUAAAUAAGUUAAGUCUUAAAGGGAAAGUUACUUAUUCCUUAAAUUGGAGUCCUCCAAAAUAAGAAAAUAAUAUAGAUAAGAAAUUCUUAUUAAAAAAAGAAAACAUAUUACUUAACACCUAUGCAGUGGUAAAGAAUCAACCGCAACACUAUUUUUGUUUACCUUAUAUCUACCAUCAAAGCUUCGGUAGGAUUAAAUAUAAAGGUAAAUUUUUCUGCACACGCAUUAAAAUCGACAUAAACAAUUUACUACUCUUCCCCAAGAAUUAUGAGAAUAGGCUAUGAACAAUCUUUUAGAAUUUCUAAGUAUUGACAGCUCUGACUCAAUAAAAUUACAAUUAUACUCCCUAACCGGAAUAAUUAUGAAAAAAUGACAUAAAUGCCCAAACCUUUAUUUUAAUUUCAUUUCUCACCCAUUAUCUUUCUCUCUCCUCUCUCUAAAUAAUGCUCUCCAGUUCAAAAAUUAUGGAUGUUUCAUUCUAAUGGAUUAUAUUUUCACAAUUUAUUUUUCUUUCCCAUUUUCCUUUUCAUGUCCUUUGAAUCAGUUAGUUACGACGGACUAACAAAUUAAAGAAGCAUUGGACUGGGAUUAGGCUUUGAACGUCGAGUGGUCAUAACUUGAAGGCAUGUAAUCAGAAAUGUAAAAUGAAUGCUUUUAAGCUCGAAAUUCAGUACAGUUUUUGACUAUUGGCACACCUCUAACUUUCUCGUCAAACCCCUUUUCUAUAGAUAUCCUUUUUAAUUCUUAAAAUAACCUCAUUUGCUAUACUUUCUUAAUAAACCACUGCAUAGGACGAAAAAACAAAAACUUCUAUCAAUGAGCUCUCUCUCUCCCCUCUCCCAUUUCAAGCACUUACAAUUUCUUAUUGACUAUAGCAUUCAUGAAUUUCUGAUUUUAAUCUCUAUCUAUCUUUAUUUUUCUUAGUAGGUAAUAACUUGAGUAUGUAUACAAAGACAAGUAUAUGCAUAUCUGAAAGAAAAACUUGGCGUAAGUAAAUAAAUUUCACCGAAUAAUCUUUCCUAAAAUAACUUAGUUUAUAUUUAGAUCAAAUUCUUAUCUUAUGAGAAUUCAUUGUUUUCUCAAAUUUUGUAGAUUUUAAAGUGUUUUAGAAUGGAGAAAAAAACUAAGAAAACAACAUAGGUUAGUUUAAUCAGAUAAGUUUUUUUUUUAAUAUAAUUUAAAAUAUAAAGAAUAAAUUUAUAAAUAUAAAAUAAGUGGAAUUUCAUAAGAGAUAUAGAGGAGUGCGAAUAGCGCCACUCUUUUAUUUAACUCAUUAACAAUAACAAAGGCAGCAGUUUUUCUUUUUUUUUAAUCUUUUUUCCCCCAGAAACGACACUUUUCAUUGAUUGGAAAGCAAAGAACAAACGAAAGCUGCUUUUCUUCCAGCCAAACAAUCUCAAUUUAAACUAUUAAUUGGAAGUUUUAACUAAGGCACCAAAUUAAAAUAAAUAAAUAAAAUUACUUAAGGCACAAUCCUGUGACUUUUUAGCCUACCAAUCCAAGUGACGAAGGAAUUCUUAGAAUUCCUGAAACCCAAGAACCCGUGCUCCUUACUCUUGUUCAUGCUAACUAAAUAACCCGCACCAAUAUUCAACCCCAUAUCUGCAUAUGACCAAACAGCAACCUCAUUCAAUUUCGUUGGCUGAAGCUGAUUCUCUCUCACAAUCUCCUCCCACACACUUUCUUUACCUUUCAUAAAUUCCCCCAAUCUCACCCUCUCACUAUCCUUUUCAUCUCCAAACCCAUAAUUCUCAAUCUCAAACUGCUCAGCCAACGCUUUCCAUAAAUGCUUCCACUUAAAAACAUCUCCAUUGGUACAAUUGAAAGCUUCGUUUCUUGCAUUAGCAUCAACUGCCGCCCAAAUUUGCUGCUCCGCAAUCAAAUCUGCAUCCGAAUAUUCUGAGAAGCCUUCCCAAGUUUCUUUCGUCCCAGGAAAUAGUAAAGGAAUGCCUUCAUGUUUACAGAUAGCAGCGUACACGCAGAGAGUGGCUAUAAUAUUCAUCAAACUAUAAGGUGAAAACCCAAAUAUUCCGAAAGGUCGAUGUAUGGACCAAGUCAGGCCCUCUCUUUUCUCAACUUCUUCAAACAAUAUGUCUUCUUGAUUAUAGUAAAAAAGUGGUAUGUUUAACCUUGGCAAAUCCUCAGUAAAAGGCGGAUCGUACGGUAUCUUGCCGAUACAGUCGAAUGGUCCCAGGUAAUGUUUGCCUCCCGUUUGGAGACAGAUGUGGCGGAGAUUAGGCGCGUUCGGGAUUAUAGAACGGAGCACGUUACGGAACAUGGAGCCGUUUAUCUGGCAAUUCUCUACUUCAGUGGGACGGCUGGCCCACGUCACGUAGAAGAUGUGGGUGACGUCAGUGAGUUUUGAGAGCUUGGCUUGUGUCUCUUCCUGGUCGGAAAUGUCGCAUUGGAUGUACUCAAUCGGGUGAUUGGCAUUCCAGUCGGGCCUGGGGCGUCGGGCCACUCCGUAGACUUUCCAAGGGCCACCAGGAGUAUCGGAUCGGGGCAAUAUCUCUGCUAGGCUGUUGCCUACAAUUCCUGUCACUCCUAGUAUAAGUCCCACAAGCUGGUAGUCUCGAGGUCUCUUAUCUUCAUCCAAUUUCUUCUUCACAAAUAAAAAAUAUUGAGUACUUGAAAAAUGAUGAUAUUUAAACAGAAAAACCGAAGUUCAUUUUUAACAUAUAAAAUAUGAACAUGUAUGUACAUUAAUUUAUCAAGUACAGACUUAAGAGAGAGUUAAUCCUAUUCUUUACCUUAGGAGCGUCGAUAGCACUUGCCCACCACCACCAGCUCAUUCUGAAAAAAAAAAAAAAAAAAAAAAAAAAAAAAGGGAUGAUGAGUUUGGUUUUUGCUUCUGCUUUUAUAGGGACCAUAGCGAACAAAGGUAAGAGUCGAAUGAUCGCGAGCGGCGAGUGACAUGCGCGGCAGAAUCUGGAUCACUCACUGAUGUUGUAUUAUUGAGAGAUCAAAGAUAUAAUGUGUGGUGAA
Molecule: long non-coding RNA, 23056 nt
Filed under: Citrus maxima (pomelo)
Lineage: Eukaryota; Viridiplantae; Streptophyta; Magnoliopsida; Sapindales; Rutaceae
Description: long non-coding RNA (CMAX_LNC001326)
Source: RNAcentral